GACGAACGCUGGCGGCGUGCUUAAUACAUGCAAGUCGAACGGAAAGGCCCUGCUUUUGUUGGGUGCUCGAGUGGCGAACAGGUGUGUAACACGUGUGUAACCUGCCCCUGACUUUGGGAUAACUUUAGGAAACUGGGGCUCAUACCGGAUAGGAUAUCCUGCUGCAUGGUGGGGGUUGGAAAGUGUCGGCGGUGUGGGAUGGACUCGCGGCUUAUCAGCUUGUUUGUGAGGUAGUGGCUUUCCAAGGUUUAGACGGCUAGCCGGCCUGGGAGGGUAGCCGGCGUCAUUGCUACUGAGAUACGGACCAGACUCAUACGGGAGGCAGCGGUCGAAAGUCUUACACAAUGGGCGGAAGCGCGUUACAGAGAUGCUGCGUUCGUGAGAAUGGCUUUUGGGGUGAGAACCAAUUUCGACUUAGACGUGCAGUUAGUGACGGUAAUGGGUCACAAAGCACCGGCUAACUACGUG
Molecule: ribosomal RNA, 468 nt
Filed under: uncultured bacterium
Lineage: Bacteria
Description: partial 16S ribosomal RNA
Rfam family: Bacterial small subunit ribosomal RNA
Source: RNAcentral